AUAAUGGGUCAGCGACUUAUAUUCUGUAGCAAGGUUAACCGAAUAGGGGAGCCGAAGGGAAACCGAGUCUUAACUGGGCGUUAAGUUGCAGGGUAUAGACCCGAAACCCGGUGAUCUAGCCAUGGGCAGGUUGAAGGUUGGGUAACACUAACUGGAGGACCGAACCGACUAAUGUUGAAAAAUUAGCGGAUGACUUGUGGCUGGGGGUGAAAGGCCAAUCAAACCGGGAGAUAGCUGGUUCUCCCCGAAAGCUAUUUAGGUAGCGCCUCGUGAAUUCAUCUCCGGGGGUAGAGCACUGUUUCGGCAAGGGGGUCAUCCCGACUUACCAACCCGAUGCAAACUGCGAAUACCGGAGAAUGUUAUCACGGGAGACACACGGCGGGUGCUAACGUCCGUCGUGAAGAGGGAAACAACCCAGACCGCCAGCUAAGGUCCCAAAGUCAUGGUUAAGUGGGAAACGAUGUGGGAAGGCCCAGACAGCCAGGAUGUUGGCUUAGAAGCAGCCAUCAUUUAAAGAAAGCGUAAUAGCUCACUGGUCGAGUCGGCCUGCGCGGAAGAUGUAACGGGGCUAAACCAUGCACCGAAGCUGCGGCAGCGACACUAUGUGUUGUUGGGUAG
RNAcentral lists this ribosomal RNA (618 nucleotides) under Escherichia coli. Its description in RNAcentral is "partial 23S ribosomal RNA". It matches the Rfam family "Bacterial large subunit ribosomal RNA", at positions 612 to 1231 of the family's 2925-position model. Lineage: Bacteria; Pseudomonadati; Pseudomonadota; Gammaproteobacteria; Enterobacterales; Enterobacteriaceae. The record is from RNAcentral.